Molecule: ribosomal RNA, 301 nt
Filed under: uncultured bacterium
Lineage: Bacteria
Description: partial 16S ribosomal RNA
Rfam family: Bacterial small subunit ribosomal RNA
Source: RNAcentral
CAGUCGCCGCGGGAAUACGAAGGGUGCAAGCGUUAAUCGGAAUUGCUGGGCGUAAAGCGUGCGUAGGCGGUUUGUUAAGUCUGCUGUGAAAUCCCCGGGCUCAACCUGGGAAUGGCAGUGGAUACUGGCAAGCUAGAGUGUGUCAGAGGAUGGUGGAAUUCCCGGUGUAGCGGUGAAAUGCGUAGAGAUCGGGAGGAACAUCAGUGGCGAAGGCGGCCAUCUGGGACAACACUGACGCUGAGGCACGAAAGCGUGGGGAGCAAACAGGAUUAGAUACCCCAGUAGUCCCUGUCUCUUAUAA